AUAAAAGCUUCGAUGGAUUUGAAGUAGUAACUCUUUCCCUGUUUCAGAGAGCUGGUGUUCGCUGCGAACCAGUACAUAAAGACGUUACGAAUUACGUUUCCUUAGCUUUGAUGUGAUGUGCACCACAUCAACGGGUCUGUUCCGUUAUCAACGAUUAAGAGAUAAUCUCUUUCGAAUAGAGAUUAUAAUCAGGGUGGUACCGCGAAUAAAUUCGUUCGUCCCUGCU
RNAcentral lists this non-coding RNA (226 nucleotides) under Pontibacillus chungwhensis. Its description in RNAcentral is "T-box sequence". It matches the Rfam family "T-box leader". From Rfam's summary of the family: Uncharged tRNA acts as the effector for transcription antitermination of genes in the T-box leader family. T-boxes are found upstream of many aminoacyl-tRNA synthetase genes and some amino acid biosynthetic genes usually in Gram-positive bacteria. The record is from RNAcentral. Lineage: Bacteria; Bacillati; Bacillota; Bacilli; Caryophanales; Bacillaceae.